RNAcentral lists this ribosomal RNA (484 nucleotides) under uncultured bacterium. RNAcentral describes it as "partial 16S ribosomal RNA". It matches the Rfam family "Bacterial small subunit ribosomal RNA", at positions 28 to 507 of the family's 1533-position model. The record is from RNAcentral.
AUUGAACGCUGGCGGCAUGCUUUACACAUGCAAGUCGAACGGCAGCGCGGGCUUCGGCCUGGCGGCGAGUGGCGAACGGGUGAGUAAUGCAUCGGAACGUGCCCAGUAGUGGGGGAUAGCCCGGCGACAGCCGGAUUAAUACCGCAUACGACCUGAGGGUGAAAGCGGGGGACCGAAAGGCCUCGCGCUAUUGGAGCGGCCGAUGUCGGAUUAGCUAGUUGGUGGGGUAAAGGCUUACCAAGGCGACGAUCCGUAGCUGGUCUGAGAGGACGACCAGCCACACUGGGACUGAGACACGGACCAGACUCCUACGGGAGGCAGCAGUGGGGAAUUUUGGACAAUGGGGGCAACCCUGAUCCAGCCAUGCCGCGUGCGGGAAGAAGGCCUUCGGGUUGUAAACCGCUUUUGUUCGGGAAGAAAUCCUCUGGGCUAAUACCCCGGGGGGAUGACGGUACCGGAAGAAUAAGCACCGGCUAACUACGUG